This 442-nucleotide ribosomal RNA is filed under the name uncultured bacterium. Its description in RNAcentral is "partial 16S ribosomal RNA". It matches the Rfam family "Bacterial small subunit ribosomal RNA", at positions 338 to 795 of the family's 1533-position model. The record is from RNAcentral.
CCUACGGGAGGCAGCAGUGGGGAAUAUUGGGCAAUGGGCGCAAGCCUGACCCAGCAACGCCGCGUGAAGGAAGAAGGCUUUCGGGUUGUAAACUUCUUGUGUCAGGGAAGAGGAGAAGACGGGACCGGACGAAUAAGCCACGGCUAACUACGGGCCAGCAGCCGCGGUAAUACGUAGGUGGCAAGCGUUGUCCGGAUUUACGGGGUGUAAAGGGCGGGUAGCCGGGUUGACAAGUCAGAUGUGAAAUCCUGCGGCUUAACCGCAGAACUGCAUUUGAAACUGUUGAUCUUGAGUACUGGAGAGGCAGCUGGUCUUCCUCGUGUAGCGGUGACCUGCGUAGAUAUUAGGAGGACCACCAGUGGCGACGGCGGUCUGCUGGACAGCAACUGACGGUGAGGCGCGAACGCGUGGGGAGCAAACAGGAUUAGCUACCCGUGUAGUC